This 492-nucleotide ribosomal RNA is filed under the name uncultured bacterium. RNAcentral's name for it is "partial 16S ribosomal RNA". It matches the Rfam family "Bacterial small subunit ribosomal RNA", at positions 29 to 507 of the family's 1533-position model. The record is from RNAcentral.
AGUGAACGCUGGCGGUAGGCCUAACACAUGCAAGUCGAACGGCAGCACAGUAAGAGCUUGCUCUUACGGGUGGCGAGUGGCGGACGGGUGAGGAAUACAUCGGAAUCUACUUUUUCGUGGGGGAUAACGUAGGGAAACUUACGCUAAUACCGCAUACGACCUACGGGUGAAAGCAGGGGAUCUUCGGACCUUGCGCGAUUGAAUGAGCCGAUGUCGGAUUAGCUAGUUGGCGGGGUAAAGGCCCACCAAGGCGACGAUCCGUAGCUGGUCUGAGAGGAUGAUCAGCCACACUGGAACUGAGACACGGUCCAGACUCCUACGGGAGGCAGCAGUGGGGAAUAUUGGACAAUGGGCGCAAGCCUGAUCCAGCUAUACCGCGUGGGUGAAGAAGGCCUUCGGGUCGUAAAGCCCUUUUGUUGGGAAAGAAAAGCAGCAGGUUAAUACCCCGCUGUUCUGACGGUACCCAAAGAAUAAGCACCGGCUAACUUCGUG